RNAcentral lists this ribosomal RNA (810 nucleotides) under uncultured bacterium. RNAcentral's name for it is "bacterial SSU rRNA". It matches the Rfam family "Bacterial small subunit ribosomal RNA", at positions 8 to 796 of the family's 1533-position model. The record is from RNAcentral.
AGAGUUUGAUCAUGGCUCAGAAUCAACGCUGGCGGCGUGCCUCAGACAUGCAAGUCGAACGCGAAAGUCCCCUUCGGGGGAUAAGUAGAGUGGCGCACGGGUGAGUAACACGUAGGUAAUCUACCUUCGGGUGGGGAAUAACCCAGGGAAACUUGGGCUAAUACCGCAUAAUGCAGCGGCAUCACAUGGUGACAGUUGUUAAAGCGGGGGAUCUUCGGAUCUCGCGCCUGAAGAGGAGCCUGCGGCAGAUUAGCUAGUUGGUAAGGUAACGGCUUACCAAGGCGACGAUCUGUAGCCGGCCUGAGAGGGCGGUCGGCCACACUGACACUGACAUACGGGUCAGACUCCUACGGGAGGCAGCAGUCGGGAAUUUUGGGCAAUGGGCGAAAGCCUGACCCAGCAACGCCGCGUGAAGGAUGAAAUCCUUCGGGAUGUAAACUUCGCAAGAAUGGGAAGAAUUAGUAGGGGUUAAUACCCCCUAUGAUGACGGUACCAUUUGUAAGCUCCGGCUAACUCCGUGCCAGCAGCCGCGGUAAUACGGGGGGAGCAAGCGUUGUUCGGAUUUACUGGGCGUAAAGGGCGCGUAGGCGGUCAGCACAAGUCAGUUGUGAAAUCUCCAGGCUUAACUCGGAAAGGUCAACUGAUACUGUGCGACUAGAGUGCGGAAGGGGCAACUGGAAUUCUCGGUGUAGCGGUGAAAUGCGUAGAUAUCGAGAGGAACACCUGCGGCGAAGGCGGGUUGCUGGGCCGACACUGACGCUGAUGCGCGAAAGCCAGGGGAGCGAACGGGAUUAGAUACCCNNGUAGUCC